CCAUUAGUGACCUUUGCAAGGGCUGUCUCACUGGCCUGAUUGGAGUGGACUGAAGAGAGAAUGGAAGUCUCCCUGAGAGCUCCUGGCUGCAGAGAUGGGGAAGAGGAGUGGGCCUGUGGCCAGUGCCACUCAGAGACCCCUGGAGAAGAACGAAUCCAGGCACCACAGGCCUCAAGCUGGGUCACCUGGACAUUUCCCCUAAUGCUAUGCACGUCAGAACAAGUCCAAGCUGGCUUGCUGUAGAGGACACACAGAACGGAACUGAGGCAGCCCAGACAACUGGCGGACCUGUGACCAACACCAACCAGGACCAGCCAGGCCUGAGCUGACUUGCCAAGUGAUUCUAAAUGCAUAAGUGAGCCCAGCCAACACCACACGGAAGAGAGUGAGCCAUCCUAGCUGAGCCCUGCCCAAAGUCGUGACCCACAGAAUCAUGAGCCAACAAAUUGUUGUGGUUUUGAGCCAUCGCCGCAGGAACCUUCAGGCCUGAGCAGUGAAAUGACUCCAGGAAGAAGGUGACUGUCCUUGUACUGUCGGAUGGGAGGAUGGAUGGCCGGGUACUGCUGGGGUGCUGUCCACACUCUAACCCUCCCUGGGCCCACAUGGGUAACAAAUCCACAAGGGAAGGUGCCCACUCUGGUGUCUGGACAAAGAACAGAGAGUCCCAAUAGCCAAAACCCCUAGAAUUUGGGUUCAUUUCUCUCUGUUUUUCUAGUGUCUCCC
Molecule: long non-coding RNA, 723 nt
Filed under: Equus caballus (horse)
Lineage: Eukaryota; Metazoa; Chordata; Mammalia; Perissodactyla; Equidae
Description: lncRNA (ENSECAG00000048349.1)
Source: RNAcentral